Molecule: long non-coding RNA, 290 nt
Filed under: Homo sapiens (human)
Lineage: Eukaryota; Metazoa; Chordata; Mammalia; Primates; Hominidae
Description: HSALNT0346127
Source: RNAcentral
UUUAGGGCAACAGAAGAAAUUGGAAAAGACAUUUGGAAAUACAAAGAGAUUUUCGAGGAUCCUGAAAUCAGGGCACAGGUGCAGCUGCCAGCCCUGCCUCCUGUUCAUGCUGGCUCUUGAGUGUCCCUGAUGGAAGAUGUUUAAGGCCAGUGCUAUGAAGAAAUUAAUAAGUUCAAAUACAGUAUCUGAGGGGGAUUGGUUCCAGAACCUCCUGCAGAUACCCAAAUCCAGGUGGAUCAUCAGAAACUUCCCUAAGAGAUUUACUCCUAACUCAAACUGUAGAAUCUAGA